This 74-nucleotide transfer RNA is filed under the name Planctomycetaceae bacterium. RNAcentral's name for it is "tRNA-Arg". It matches the Rfam family "tRNA". Rfam says of the family: Transfer RNA (tRNA) molecules are approximately 80 nucleotides in length. Their secondary structure includes four short double-helical elements and three loops (D, anti-codon, and T loops). RNAcentral also lists the same sequence under 2 other names. The record is from RNAcentral. Lineage: Bacteria; Pseudomonadati; Planctomycetota; Planctomycetia; Planctomycetales; Planctomycetaceae.
GCGCCCGUAGCUCAAUUGGAUAGAGCAACGGUCUUCGGAACCGUAGGUUAUAGGUUCGACUCCCAUCGGGCGCA